UAGGGAAUCUUCGGCAAUGGGGGGAACCCUGACCGAGCAACGCCGCGGGGGUGAGGAAGGUUUUCGGAUCGUAAAGCUCGGUUUUUAGGGAGGAAGGAGUGGGAGAAUGGAAGGUUAAUACUUUGAGGGUACUUAACCAGAAGGGGACGGCUAAUUACGUGCCAGCAGCCGCGGUAAUACGUAGGUCCCGAGCGUUGUCCGGAUUUAUUGGGCGUAAAGCGAGCGCAGGCGGUUAGAUAAGUCUGAAGUUAAAGGCAGUGGCUCAACCAUUGUAGGCUUUGGAAACUGUUUAACUUGAGUGCAGAAGGGGAGAGUGGAAUUCCAUGUGUAGCGGUGAAAUGCGUAGAUAUAUGGAGGAACACCGGUGGCGAAAGCGGCUCUCUGGUCUGUAACUGACGCUGAGGCUCGAAAGCGUGGGGAGCGAACAGG
RNAcentral lists this ribosomal RNA (429 nucleotides) under Bacteroidota bacterium. Its description in RNAcentral is "Bacteroidetes bacterium partial 16S ribosomal RNA". It matches the Rfam family "Bacterial small subunit ribosomal RNA", at positions 355 to 776 of the family's 1533-position model. The record is from RNAcentral. Lineage: Bacteria; Pseudomonadati; Bacteroidota.